CUGCAUUAAAUGUUGGCCUGUCCUGUAUUAGGCAUUCAGGAUUUCCUUUGAUGGCCAUUUAGCUCUUAUGGCAUGAACUUGCUCAGCGCAUUAUUAUUUGUUUUUCUACAGUCUGAUAUUUGUUUACUAAUUGAUCGAUGCAGUGUAUUAAAUAAGUGGAUAAAUAAGAUGUUAAAAACCUCAUCAUCAUAUAAAACAUGAUAGAUUUGGGGGGAGUUUGUUUGGCACAUGCUGACUGCAUUCUAAUUAUAACCAGAACAGGAGGCGAGAGCAGAGAACAAGAGUGCAGCAGUUUGGUGAAAGGAACAGGAAAGGUGAAGAAGGGGUGAGCAUCCAAAAGACAAGCAAGAGGACAGUUUCAAAGGAGACAUUAUGGCACAAUAAAAGCUGUAAGAGCAGAGAUUCAUUCAUAUUUUUACUAUUUUUUCUUUAGCUUUUACUCCCACUGUCAUGGGUCUGGGUCAUUUUGACCCAGCUUUUUCUGUUUCUGUUUUGGUGUUUAUCUAAAUGUUGAUUUGUUUUGGGUUUUGGUUUGAUUUUGUAUUAAGGGUUAUUCUUGGUAUUGUUCCCAAACGUUAUUUGGUGUUUUGGCCUCUAGUUUAAGUCACUGUCUUCUCUGUUUUAUGUGUUAUAUUCUUUCUGUCUAUCUCUCAGUGUCAAGUUUGUGUUUUUGUGAUUUGUUUCUUAUUUCCUGUUUUAUUUUGAUAGUCCCUGUCCUAUGUCAGUGUAUUUAGUUUUACCUGGCCCUGUCUCGUUAGCCUAAUUUCUCCCAGCUGUGUCUUCCUCCUGUUUCCCGUUCCCUGAUUACUCCCCUGUGUAUAUAAGCCCCGUGUUUGCCAUUUCUUUCUGUUGCGUUGUACCCGCAAUAUGCUGUGUGUUUUGUCUCAUGCUCCAGUUCUGUUUUUUUCUUUUCCAGUGUUUUGGUCCUUAUCUCCUCUGUCCAGAGUUUUUUUUGUUGUUGUUGUUUGGCCUCCUCCUGUUUCACUGGCAUAUAUCCAUCACCAGAGGGCUCCACUGACCUGCCUGCUGACAUCAGAGCACACCCCUUUGUCAUGUGACCUGGCUGGCGUUGCAAAGCUGGACUCAGACCUGGCCCAGGCAAGUUCAAAGGCAGUUGUGGUAGAGAGAGCAGGGAGUAUAUCACUUCUAAAAACUUCUCCUGUAGCUGUUUUUGUUUAA
Molecule: long non-coding RNA, 1179 nt
Filed under: Oreochromis niloticus (Nile tilapia)
Lineage: Eukaryota; Metazoa; Chordata; Actinopteri; Cichliformes; Cichlidae
Description: lncRNA (ENSONIG00000032874.1)
Source: RNAcentral